Molecule: long non-coding RNA, 934 nt
Filed under: Oryzias javanicus (javanese ricefish)
Lineage: Eukaryota; Metazoa; Chordata; Actinopteri; Beloniformes; Adrianichthyidae
Description: lncRNA (ENSOJAG00000000887.1)
Source: RNAcentral
GGACUUUUCUGACAACAAAAUCCAAAGUUUUAAGCAUUAAGCUGAAACAUCACAAAGCUAUCAUCAGCGUGGACAUGCAGGAGAUGUUGCUUUGUAGACAUUGAACUUUCAUAUUAUGGGGGAGCCGCAAAAUAUCGAGUUGGGGGCCGUAAAUGUCCGGUUUGAGACCUCUGCUUUAAUAAAUUAUUUUGAUUUCAGCUCACAGAGAGACAGUAGGAUGGCUAAGGAGAGAAUUCUCUGACCUCUGUUUGUAACCAGGAGUAACCUCAGUGAAGACAGGAAGCGUGGAGGAUCAGCUUACCCAUCAGCAGUUUGGGGAAGUUGGAGGUCUCGAUGUUGUGAUAGUAGACGAUGGAGGUGAUGCCCGCCAUGAAGGCCAGAGCUGCAGGCAUGUACAGGUGGAGGUGGAAGGACUGGCUGAACCUGGCAACGAACAUCACAUCAAGACGAAAAGUCGAAUAAUCGGAAAAAAUAGUCGGUGAUUCGUGGACUUCGUCAGCAGGCCUACCCAUCAGAGACGAUGCCCUCGGCGAUCUCGCAGACCAGGACGAAGAGCAGGACGAAGCUCCUCGGGAUGAGCUCCGCGCGCGCGGAGGGGAGUCAGAGGGAGGCGGGUCGUGAGGAGGAGCGGGUCAGAGGCGGCCAGAGUCCCCCCUCUCCGUCCAUCCCGUCCGCCUGCAAACUGAGGACGUCCUGCAGGGCGCCGCUCGCGCUCGGCUCGCGCGCGCGCAGCGCCGCUCCUCUGGAAUGCACGCGGGCAUGCUCACAUGGCGGGAGGAGGAGCGGCUCCCGCAGAUCCCGCUAUUCCUGUCUCCAGAGGCGACCUUGGCGGAGCAGAGGGGACGGACGUGCCGGAGGAGCCGGUGGCGCGAGCGCAGCAGCAGGUAUAAUCAGUCGGACCGGUUGCAGAGCUGAUGUGAGAGGAAGAAUGUGA